RNAcentral lists this transfer RNA (77 nucleotides) under Alphaproteobacteria bacterium. RNAcentral describes it as "tRNA-Pro". It matches the Rfam family "tRNA". Rfam says of the family: Transfer RNA (tRNA) molecules are approximately 80 nucleotides in length. Their secondary structure includes four short double-helical elements and three loops (D, anti-codon, and T loops). RNAcentral also lists the same sequence under 3 other names. The record is from RNAcentral. Lineage: Bacteria; Pseudomonadati; Pseudomonadota; Alphaproteobacteria.
CGGGGCGUGGCGCAGUCUGGUAGCGCACCUGCUUUGGGAGCAGGGGGUCGCCGGUUCGAAUCCGGCCGCCCCGACCA